Molecule: small nuclear RNA, 107 nt
Filed under: Rhinopithecus bieti (black snub-nosed monkey)
Lineage: Eukaryota; Metazoa; Chordata; Mammalia; Primates; Cercopithecidae
Source: RNAcentral
GUGCUCGCUUUGGCAGUACAUAUACUAAAAUUGGAACAAUGCAAAGAAGAUUAGCAUGGCCCCUGCACAAGGAUGACAUGCAAAUUCAUGAAGCGUUCCGUAUUUUU